AUUAUUUACAAUAGUUUUUACUUCAUCUUAUUUCACAUUCAUCAAAAAACACCAUAAGAUAAAGAUACAGCGGUUGCAAGAUAUUAUCUGUAAAGGUGCCAGUAAAAUCUAAAACCCUGACUGAAAUAGUUAGGGAUUUAGGGGGAAAGACUGGAUUUCUUUUAUUGAUCUUUUUACCUUCUGAGAGCUUAGUGCUUUCCAAGCAUUUCACCUAUAUUCAUAUGGGAAACGUUUAACGAAAAGCAUAGCAGUUUACAAUUUAUUGUUAUGUAUGGGAAAGUUUGUAAACAUUUCCUGAUAAUGAAUUGCCUUUGGUAUAUGGUGGUUUUAGGGUGACUAGAUGAAAAAGACAGGGCUCUGUGCCUUUAAUAGCUAUGUAAAAGAGGAGUUUUCAGCAUGUGUUACUUGUCAUACAAGCAACACCAUUCCAAAUUUACCUCCUCUAUGCAGGUCUUAAAGGUGCGCUCCUCUUUUUCAUCUGGUCACCCUGGUUUGCACUGACUCUGUUUAUAAAUGAGAUUGUUAAGAAAUCACUGUUGUUGUGAGCUAAAGGUACAUGUUCUAGCCCUAUUAUAUUCUUACUGGAAUACCAGAUAAGACAUCCUCUGAGACUUCUAUACCAGCUGGAUGAUAGAAAACUCACGUUUUGAGAACUCUGGUGAUGAUCUGGUUCAGUUGUGUAACCAUAGCAGAAUUUAUUUAGAGUUUUACAUAAAUGUGUCAGUUUAUUUAAGGACCUAUUCUGAGUCAGAAAAAAAGUUAGUCGGGUAAAUUAGGAAGAAACACAUAAUACUGAUGACCUGUUGGCACAUAAUGUCUGUAAAUCACCUUGGAAGAUUAUUCAUAAAUGUAUUCAUCAUCAUUACCAUACUGUAAUGUCCAAGGGAAUGCCCAGAGUCUAAGGUACCAUACCAUGUGUGACGCUUAUCUUUUCUGUCUUAGAUGACUUCUAAUAAGGUCAUGGAAUUCUGGUGUGUGCUCAGAGUUUGGGUCAGGGAAUCAUCAUCAAGUGAUUCAUCAUCAACAACAGACAUAUAAUUUUGGAUUGGGGACUAGUUAAAAGGGAGAUAGAAUCUGUCUCUGAGAUAAUAAAAGUAGGGCAUAAGUUUA
This is a long non-coding RNA of Podarcis raffonei (Aeolian wall lizard), 1110 nucleotides long. RefSeq lists it as uncharacterized. The record is from RefSeq and is a predicted model, not a curated record. The transcript is spliced from 2 exons. NCBI's taxonomy places the organism in Eukaryota, Metazoa, Chordata, Lepidosauria, Squamata, Lacertidae.